Molecule: ribosomal RNA, 1365 nt
Filed under: metagenome
Description: bacterial LSU rRNA
Rfam family: Bacterial large subunit ribosomal RNA
Source: RNAcentral
UGUAGUCGUGCCUGGUAGGCAAAUCCGCCGGGCUUAGAUGAGGGGUGAUAACGAGUCUGCUUGCAGACGAAGUGAGUGAUACCCUGCUUCCAGGAAAAGCCACUAAGCUUCAGCUAUUGACGACCGUACCGCAAACCGACACUGGUGCGCGAGAUGAGUAUUCUAAGGCGCUUGAGAGAACUCAGGAGAAGGAACUCGGCAAAUUGAUACCGUAACUUCGGGAGAAGGUAUGCCCCAAGUAGGUGAACUCGUACAGAGGGAGCCCAACGGGGUUGCAAAAAAUCGGUGGCUGCGACUGUUUAAUAAAAACACAGCACUCUGCAAACACGAAAGUGGACGUAUAGGGUGUGACGCCUGCCCGGUGCUGGAAGAUUAAAUGAUGGGGUGCAAGCUCUUGAUUGAAGUCCCAGUAAACGGCGGCCGUAACCAUAACGGUCCUAAGGUAGCGAAAUUCCUUGUCGGGUAAGUUCCGACCUGCACGAAUGGCGUAACGAUGGCCACACUGUCUCCUCCUGAGACUCAGCGAAGUUGAAAUGUUUGUGAUGAUGCAAUCUCCCCGCGGAAAGACGGAAAGACCCCAUGAACCUUUACUGUAGCUUUGUAUUGGACUUUGAACAGAUCUGUGUAGGAUAGGUGGGAGGCUUUGAAGUGAGGACGCUAGUUCUCAUGGAGCCAACGUUGAAAUACCACCCUGGUGUGUUUGAGGUUCUAACCUAGGUCCAUUAUCUGGAUCGGGGACAGUGCAUGGUAGGCAGUUUGACUGGGGCGGUCUCCUCCCAAAGCGUAACGGAGGAGUUCGAAGGUACGCUAGUUACGGUCGGACAUCGUGACGAUAGUGCAAUGGCAUAAGCGUGCUUAACUGCGAGACUGACAAGUCGAGCAGAUGCGAAAGCAGGACAUAGUGAUCCGGUGGUUCUGUAUGGAAGGGCCAUCGCUCAACGGAUAAAAGGUACUCUGGGGAUAACAGGCUGAUACCGCCCAAGAGUUCAUAUCGACGGCGGUGUUUGGCACCUCGAUGUCGGCUCAUCUCAUCCUGGGGCUGUAGCCGGUCCCAAGGGUAUGGCUGUUCGCCACUUAAAGAGGUACGUGAGCUGGGUUUAAAACGUCGUGAGACAGUUUGGUCCCUAUCUUCCGUGGGCGCUGCAGAUUUGAGGAAGCCUGCUCCUAGUACGAGAGGACCGGAGUGGACACACCUCUGGUGUAUCGGUUGUCACGCCAGUGGCAUUGCCGAGUAGCUAAGUGUGGAAGAGAUAACCGCUGAAAGCAUCUAAGCGGGAAACUCGUUUCAAGAUGAGAUCUGCCGGGGCCUUGAGCCCCCUAAAGAGUCGUUCAAGACCAGGACGUUGAUAGGCUGGGUGUGGAAGC